GGGUAUAGCUCAGUGGUAGAGUGUGUACUUAGCAAGCACGAGGUCCUGGGUUCAAACCCUAGUACGACUA
RNAcentral lists this transfer RNA (70 nucleotides) under Camelus bactrianus (Bactrian camel). It matches the Rfam family "tRNA". From Rfam's summary of the family: Transfer RNA (tRNA) molecules are approximately 80 nucleotides in length. The record is from Rfam by way of RNAcentral. Lineage: Eukaryota; Metazoa; Chordata; Mammalia; Artiodactyla; Camelidae. RNAcentral also lists the same sequence under 2 other names.